Molecule: long non-coding RNA, 2480 nt
Filed under: Equus caballus (horse)
Lineage: Eukaryota; Metazoa; Chordata; Mammalia; Perissodactyla; Equidae
Description: lncRNA (ENSECAG00000048617.1)
Source: RNAcentral
GUGAGUUGUGGACCAGCGGUGUGAGCUGUGAAAUGUAACACAAAGCUGUCCCCUGCCAGCCAAAAUAUUUUAGUCAUUGUAGCGGCUUCAGUGGUGGUUCCCAAAGACAUUUUUAUGUCUUAAGCCUGGCACCUGUAAAUGUGGCCUUAUUUGGAAAAAGUUAAGAAUCUCCCGAUGAGAUAUUCUGGUCAUGAGGGUAGGCCCUAAAUUCAGUGACACGUGUUCUUAUGAGAGAAAGGCACAGAGAGAUUUGACACAGAUGGAAGAGAAGUCCAUGAAGAGAGGAGAGUCCAUGUGAAGAUGCAGGCAGAGAUUGGAAUGAUCACAAGGUCGCCAACACCCGGAGCCGCUAGAAGCAGGGAGAGGCAGGGAGGGGUUCUCCCCUGGAGCCUCUGAGGGGGGCACAGCCUGCCGACACCUUGAUUUUGGACUUCUGGCCCUCCACACUGUAGCCACCUAGUUUGUGAAACCGUGUGUGUUGGGCACACAAUUUACAAAUGAGAAAUCGAGCUCACUGCCCCGAAGAGGAUCACAGCCCAGGCCAUGCUUCCAACCCAGCGGGACCCACUUCUUGGAGGAGAGCUGGCAGCCAGCCCGGGCUCCUGGGCAGGCCCUUGGAGUGGGCGCAGAUCCUGGGCUUCCCCCAAACACACCUGAAGCAGCCCUUCCAGUCAUGUGGCGACUCUCCAUGAGAGGAAUUCUCGUAAAUGCAGUUUUCUUCAUCUGGUUGAACAGUCAGCCCUCCUUAUUUGAGGUUCCGCAUCUUCUGAUUCAACCAACUGCUGAUGGAAAGGCCCACGAUGGUUGCAUCUGUACUGAACAUGUACAGACUUUUUUUCUUGUCAUUAUUAUCUAAACAGUACAGUCUAACACUAUUCACAUAGCAUUUACAUUGUAUUAGGUAUUAUAAGUAAUCUAGAGAUGACAAAGAAAGUAGAGGAUGUGCAUGGGUUAUAUGGAAAUACUACACCAUUUUGUGUAAGGGACUUGAGCAUCCUGGAUUUUGGUAUCCCUGGGGGUCCUGGACCAAUCUCCUGUGGAUACAAAGGGACAACUGUAUUUCAAGAGUGGUUUUAGUAUUUCAGUUGCUUUUUCUUGUUCUUUGUGUCUUGAGGGAUCCGCCCAGCUGGCCAACCCUCCAACCUGACUCUGCUCCUGUUGAGCUGUAGGAAGAAACUGUCUUCUCAAGUCAGACGCAGGAAGCUGGGCCAGCCCCAGGAAGGCUGGGCUAGAGUUGGCAAUCGUUUGGGAGGAGGAAAACAAAUCUGAUGGACUGCAAGGGGAAGCGGCUGGGUGUGGCGAGGGCAACGGCUUCCUCAUCUCUGUGUGAGCCGAAGAAAGGGGUUCCGAAAGGGACAAGGAGCUAUGUGUGAGCCCGUAUGUCUUCAGGGGAUAAAACGCUGCUGUAUGUUAAUCACCCCUGAACUAGAGAAGGACUCACAAUAUUUUUUUUAAUUUGAGUUUAUUUUUAAUUUCAGCUUUAUUGAGGUAUAAUUGACAUAUAAAAUUCUAAGAUAUUUAAAGUGUACAUCAGAAUGAUUUAAUAUAUGUACACUCUGUGAAAGGAUUCCCCUGUCUAACUAACUAACACAUCUAUCACCUCACAGAUUUAUCUUUCUUUUUUUUUUUGGUGAGAACAUUUCAAUUCUACUCUCUUAGCAGAUUCAUCAUACCUUCAUGCCUCUUUUCCUCAGACUGUCAAUUGUAAUUACAUACAAGGGAAGUGAAGAGUUAUUUUAAAAUAUUAUUGGUGCCAAAUGAGUAAAUGGGUGGGGAAGAAGGAAUAGUCUUUUACUGAGGGACAACAUUUGUGAGGACUUUAAAAAAUCUAGAAACUCUAAAAUCAAGAGAAAACUGCGUCAAUAGUUCAAAUGUUUCUGAAUAAGUCAAGACAGAGGCAAGAUUGUCAUUGGAAAGCCAAGUUCACUCAUCCAUCCUAGGUCCUGUGCCAACAUCGAGCAGAGCCUAAGGGAACCUCGCUCGCAGGGUCCCCAUGGUCCUGCUAAGAUGCCCCCCUGUCCUGGACACCAGUGGUCCCAAGACGACAAACCCUGAGAGAUCCCUGACAGUCACCCUCUUCCUUCUGCUACCAGCGUCCCAACUUUGCUCCAACAUCAACACGGACAGUUCCAGAGGAUGUGCCAUCUGGGUCUAAGCCACUCAUUGCAAUCCUGUAUCCUUUUGACAUUGGGGAUUGGACUAAGGCAGGGUUAGGGUAUGUCAAUCUUUUUUUCAUUGUUGACAUCCUAAGGAACUAUCUUAGCUAUUUUUUUCCCUAAUCAACCCUCUCUGCCCCAUGACAUUUUAAUACCACAGAUAUUCUGAAUAUCUGUUUAUGUAGUGUAUGGAUAUUAUGGUUUGUUUAUAAAUAAAAAGAUUUCUUUGCCCCUGCCAAGAACUUAUUUUUACCCCUUUGGGGGUGAUAUGGUCCCUGCUGAGAAUGCCUGGUGUAAGGGAUUGCAACACUGUUGAUAAUAGCA